UACGUAGGGGGCAAGCGUUGUCCGGAAUCAUUGGGCGUAAAGCGCGUGUAGGCGGCUCGGUAAGUCUGCUGUGAAAGUCCAGGGCUCAACCCUGGGAUGCCGGUGGAUACUGUCGAGCUCGAGUCCGGAAGAGGCGAGUGGAAUUCCUGGUGUAGCGGUGAAAUGCGCAGAUAUCAGGAGGAACACCAAUGGCGAAGGCAGCUCGCUGGGACGUGACUGACGCUGAGACGCGAAAGCAUGGGGAGCGAACAGG
This 253-nucleotide ribosomal RNA is filed under the name uncultured bacterium. RNAcentral describes it as "partial 16S ribosomal RNA". It matches the Rfam family "Bacterial small subunit ribosomal RNA", at positions 524 to 776 of the family's 1533-position model. The record is from RNAcentral.